RNAcentral lists this ribosomal RNA (492 nucleotides) under uncultured bacterium. RNAcentral's name for it is "partial 16S ribosomal RNA". It matches the Rfam family "Bacterial small subunit ribosomal RNA", at positions 28 to 507 of the family's 1533-position model. The record is from RNAcentral.
GAUGAACGCUAGCUACAGGCUUAACACAUGCAAGUCGAGGGGAAACGGCAUCGAAAGCUUGCUUUUGAUGGGCGUCGACCGGCGCACGGGUGAGUAACGCGUAUCCAACCUGCCCAUCACUUGGGAAUAACCUUGCGAAAGUAAGACUAAUGCCCAAUGACAUCCCACGAAGGCAUCCGAAUGGGAUUAAAGAUUUAUCGGUGAUGGAUGGUGAUGCGUCUGAUUAGCUUGUUGGCGGGGUGACGGCCCACCAAGGCAACGAUCAGUAGGGGUUCUGAGAGGAAGGUCCCCCACAUUGGAACUGAGACACGGUCCAAACUCCUACGGGAGGCAGCAGUGAGGAAUAUUGGUCAAUGGGCGAGAGCCUGAACCAGCCAAGUAGCGUGCAGGAUGACGGCCCUAUGGGUUGUAAACUGCUUUUAUAAGGGAAUAAAGUGGGUCACGUGUGACUUUUUGCAUGUACCUUAUGAAUAAGGACCGGCUAAUUCCGUG